RNAcentral lists this unclassified non-coding RNA (409 nucleotides) under Hevea brasiliensis (rubber tree). Lineage: Eukaryota; Viridiplantae; Streptophyta; Magnoliopsida; Malpighiales; Euphorbiaceae. The record is from RNAcentral.
GUCUGAUUUCGGAAGCCUUUCUAUUGAGCGCCUUUGAACUGAUCUUGACGCUGGAAAACCCGGUUUUUCUGAGCUGAAGAGGUCCUAGCGCGCAAAAGAGAGUUGGGGAGGAAGAUAUAGUUCUGAUAGGUGUGUUUGCCGAAGAAGAAGGAUUGCCCAGCCCAAAAGCAAGGGCUUAGCCCAACAAGCGAAGGGGCGAAGCGAUGAGUGUUUUCCCGCCAUACGGAAUCAACUCUGGUAUGCGGCUUGGAACCGAAUUUAACGUGUAGAAGUCGAAUUUCUUAAGUUUUUUUUUUUUUUUUCAAUUGUAAUUCUUAAUAGUAUUAAGCAAAGUUUCAUACUCUCUUUCUAAAGUGGAAGACUUUCUUUAUUUUAUAAUGCCCUAUAAGCAAAGCAAGCUACAGUUUCG